RNAcentral lists this unclassified non-coding RNA (210 nucleotides) under soil metagenome. Its description in RNAcentral is "partial contains 5.8S ribosomal RNA, internal transcribed spacer 2, and large subunit ribosomal RNA". The record is from RNAcentral.
AACCUUAUGGACCUGCGGGCGUAUACCUGCGGAAGGAUCAUUACCGAGUUUACAACUCCCAAACCCCUGUGAACAUACCACUUGUUGCCUCGGCGGAUCAGCCCGCUCCCGGUAAAACGGGACGGCCCGCCAGAGGACCCCUAAACUCUGUUUCUAUAUGUAACUUCUGAGUAAAACCAUAAAUAAAUCAAAACUUUUAACAAUGGAUCU